UACGUAGGGUGCGAGCGUUAAUCGGAAUUACUGGGCGUAAAGCGUGCGCAGGCGGUUUUGUAAGUCAGAUGUGAAAUCCCCGGGCUUAACCUGGGAACUGCAUUUGUGACUGGCGGGCUAGAGUAUGGCAGAGGGGGGUAGAAUUCCACGUGUAGCAGUGAAAUGCGUAGAGAUGUGGAGGAAUACCGAUGGCGAAGGCAGCCCCCUGGGCCAAUACUGACGCUCAUGCACGAAAGCGUGGGGAGCAAACAGG
Molecule: ribosomal RNA, 253 nt
Filed under: uncultured bacterium
Lineage: Bacteria
Description: partial 16S ribosomal RNA
Rfam family: Bacterial small subunit ribosomal RNA
Source: RNAcentral